Molecule: long non-coding RNA, 1503 nt
Organism: Lolium rigidum
Lineage: Eukaryota; Viridiplantae; Streptophyta; Magnoliopsida; Poales; Poaceae
Exons: 4
Source: RefSeq, a predicted model, not a curated record
CGUCCACGUCCCCCAGCUCCUCCGCCAGCGUGCACUCCGACCUGUCGCUGCCGGCCACCUCUCCAACACGCUACUCCCGGUAGUACAACUAUUGGGGGAAGUCAAUGAGCAAUGCAUGUUCUCAUGUACACAAACUUGCUAAUAUUAAGAAGUUAUGAGCCCCAUUUGCGUCGAGGCUCCUGAGUCCAUCAUCGACGAGCCGCUGCUGCUUGGCCUGACCAUGCUUACCUGUGCUGGAGCGCAUCAACCCUGGCCAUGUACCGCACGGCGUUAGUUUACCAUGCUGCAACCGCAGCGCUCUGCAAUCUCUGUUAUAGAUAAGUCUUUGGUCUCUCCUAUUCUCUUCGUUACUUGGUAGAUAUGCCAUGCUCUUAAUAUCUGGUUUAGUCUCUCUCAUGUUAAUUUAUGGUCAAGGUUGCACAUGUUAAUAUCUGUUUGGAGUCUAUGAUGAUUUAAAUGAUAUUGAUCUCUGUCAAUUCUAGUUAGUAAAUAACAUAUAUCUUGUUGCAGAUCAUAUGCUAAUUAACUCUGUAAAUUCUAGUUAGUAAAUAACAUAUAUCUUGUUAUGGAUCAUAUGCAAAUUAGCAAGGGUAUUCUCAUAGCUCAUUCGCGGUUGCUCACGUGUACUAUUUGCUGCCAUGACAUAUAGGUUUUGUAAUAGUCACUCUAAAGCAGAUUUAUUCAUGCUUUUCUACAGGUUUCCAUGAUGGAGCAUGAUUUUUACCUAGGAAGAAUACUCACUGGGUGUCUAACCUCCGGAGUUAUCCAUGUAGGCGACAAAGUUCAUGGUCUGCGCAACACAGAUAAAGGGAUUCAGAACAUUGAGGAUGGAAAGGUUGUCAAGCUCAUGGAAAAAAGAAAGGCACAAGCAUUACAGUAAUAGAAGCUGCUGGAGCUGGAGAUGUAAUUUCAAUGGCUAGAUUGUCUGGUCCAGCUAUCGGACACAUUGUGCCAAUUCUGGAGGAAGGGAUAACUAAUAACUCUAUGCUUUGCUACUUGUUGCUGAAGCUGAACACUUUUUCCUUUUCAAUUGUCAGCAAUUUCUUAGUUUUUACAUGUGAAUGUUAUUUGUAGGUUUUGACUGCUCUACCAGCAGUUGAGUUGGAACCCUCCCACAAUAUCUAUGACUUUCGGUGUGAAUGAUUCAACACUGAGUGGCCAUGAUGGCACUCAUCGGUGGAGUGGAUGGGUUGGACCGACAUAUGCAAGUUAUUGGAGCAGUACGCCCGUCAAGUGGCACCUUCUUUUGCUCCAGUCACCUCCGGCAUUGUCUAAGUCCUGUUCUGAUUCCUCUUGCGUGAAUUCUACUUUGAUGUUCAUCCCUAGCUGCAACUUUUAUUUUAGAAUAAAUAGACCCGUUUUGUGUUCUUAAUAGAUGAUGAGUGUAUUACAUUUUUUGAAGGCAAAUAUACAAGUUGUUUUUAGAUGAGUUGUCGGACUACCAUUUAAGGGCACAAGUUUGUCAAAUAUGAUGAUGCUUGUAUUCAAAUGAGUUAUUCUUUA